GACGAACGCUGGCGGCGUGCUUAACACAUGCCAGUCGAACGGAAAGGCCCUGCUUUUGUGGGGUGCUCGAGUGGCGAACGGGUGAGUAACACGUGCGUCACCUGCUCUUGACUUUGGGAUAAUUUCAGGAAACUGGGGCUAAUACUGGCUCGGAGCUCCUGCUGCAUGGUGGGGGUUGGAACGUUUCGGCGGUCGGGGAUGGACGCGCGGCUUAUCAGCUUGUUGGUGGGGUGGUGGCUCACACAGGCGUUGACGGGUAGCCGGCCUGGGAGGGUGACCGGCCACAUGGGGACUGAGAUACGGCCCAGACGCCUACGGGAGGCAGCAGUGGGGAAUAUUGCACAAUGGGGCGAAGCCUGAGACAGCAACGCCGCGUGCGGGAUGACGGCCUUCGGGUUGUAAACCGCUUUCGCCUGUGACGAAGCGUGAGUGACGGUAAUGGGUAAAGAAGCACCGGCUAACUACGUG
Molecule: ribosomal RNA, 468 nt
Filed under: uncultured bacterium
Lineage: Bacteria
Description: partial 16S ribosomal RNA
Rfam family: Bacterial small subunit ribosomal RNA
Source: RNAcentral